AUCUGACAAACACACUGACAGGCACAUGGGAUUGGUGUGCAGGAAGAACUAGCAUCAAAAGGCACAAGCAACAAAAACUGCUACAAAGUGUUCAGAGCAGUACAUUUUAAUAUUCAGAAAGGUACAUUAAAUAAUCUGAUGGGUGUUUUGAGCUGAAACUUUACAAACACCUUCUGUAUCUUAUCCUAAAUCUUGAAAAAGGGAUAAAAUAGGUGCCCUUUAACACAUGUGGGCUGAGGUCAGCUCUUUUGAGGACCUAUUUUGUGUGCAUGUUUUGAUAGUCGUUUGCAAUAUUGAAUAAAACCUUUAAUUAGAAAGCUUUUUGUAUUGUAAAGCCUUGCGACCAGACACCAUUAACUUUAGCAAGAUCUCUCCUGCACUGGGUCUCUAAUAAAUGAAGUUAAACUAAACAAACCAGCAUGAGGCAGUGGCUGUGUCUUGUUAGGCCGGCCCACUUAACAGGGGUCGAAGGUUGCUGUUGUAUUCUCAGACUUGACUUGCAGGCAUCUAUUGGCUUUUGAUGGAUGUUGUUACUUAAGUGUGUAGGCUCUGGCCUCUGUAAAAGGGGGGGCCGUCCCCUCACAUGCUCCCACCCCCUCCCUCCUACUAAAGAGAUCACAGGGGUGCAGCUGCUUCAGAUGGCUUUGGGGUGGGGUGGGGGUCUGAGACCCUUCAAUGAGAGAACAAAACCCUUUCAUAAACACACACACUCAAGUUCACCCCUUACAACUGCCCCUAUUUUCACACCCCUACAAAAAAAAUGUUUGACAAGUGGAGGGUGCAAGAGUGCAUUGAGGGCACAGCAGACGUAUUUGUCCUUACUUAUAAGUUGCUAAUUGCUGAAUUGGGAGAAUUAUGAAUCUGAUAAUACACAGUUUACUGCACCAUGUGGCUUGAUUUGUAAUUAAUUCCUUAAUGGUCAGUUUAUUACACAUGAAUAAGUAACCCAUUAGGUCAAGGAUUUCAUGAAGAGACUGAAUAAACUGCUAUUGCAUAAUACAGCACAACAUUUUAACUUUCAGUAUCAAACUACUUCAGUAUCUGCUUUCAGCUAUCAAACAGUUGUAGUGGGCCCUAUCUACUUUGCUGACUCGGCAAUUUUUCAACAAGGGUGCCAGUAAUUGUAUCUUUUACACUGCCAUCCUCCUUGAUGUUACACAAUUGUGAUCAAAUUACAAUUCAAAAACUUCAAGUUAAAGCAGUUAAAGGCAAGACAUUCCUCACAACAACAAGAAACUCAUAGAACGAGCUAAUGAAAUUAGAAAAUUAUCUGUCAUUUGGUUGAAUGUAAGUUGCAUCCCUGGAGUAUUUUAAAUAUUGCUUGGGGUGAAAAUUGAAGGCAGAAUCUUUAAUUUGAAUCAGAGAUUCAGAAUAUGUAUAGAGAGUACUGUUAAACUUCAGUACAACAUUUUGUCAAACAUUACUUGCCUUAUACAACAUGAUACACUAGCCAUGACAGGAAAUCCUGAAUUCAGAAAUCAUUAAGCAGUCAAGAGAUUCGCUGUAUUUAAAAAACAAACAUGCUUAAAUAGGUGUACGUUUGUUGUCAGCAAUUUCCCUAUGAAAAUAGCUUAUUAUAUUAACGAUGUACUUAACAAUAGAUUACAUUUGGUCAUUAUACACUUUCAAAGUGUCAUGCCUCAUGUAUGUGGCGGUAAUCCAUGCUGUAUUAGCUUAGUGACACUUUUAUUAGUGUUUUAAUUAAUUACCUGGCUUUAUGGUAUUUAUAGAGCUAUGGGCUACUUCUAAAAAGUCAUGGCAAAGUUGGCAUCUAUUAUAUACAGUUGUGAAAUGUGGAUAGUUAAUAUGUUCAGGUUAUAAAGCUAGCAAAACUUCCAAGAAAAGGUAAGUGAGCAGUGGCAGUAAGAGUAAGUAGUAGUAGAGUAAGUAAGAGGUAGUAAGGUGAACUAAGUGUAAUGCAGCAAUAUUAGAGCUUUAACAAGUCAAAUAAAUCUGCAUUUCAAUGUUGGUUUGUAACAAAUCACCCAAGACACAAGAAGCUGGUUAACUCUUCUGUUGGUAUCUCAUACAGAGUAUCUGUGUGUGGAUUUAAGUGGGCAGCAUUACGAUUUGGGCGUUCAAGUGUGUCACAAAGCAGUUGCUGAGGAAAAACCAGGUCAUAUCUCCCUCUCUUUCUGAGCAGAAUGGAUAUUUUACAACACCACUGAGGCUGAACUAUCAGUUUGCAUAGGGCGUAUACAGAAGAACACCUUACAUAAGUUUCUCUAUAGGGACCUGGCAGGGAAGUACUGGACGAAAUAGCUUAAAUGACCAUCAUUAUACCCGAGGGCUACUUUUUAUUUUUCGAGGCUUCUGAUGUUCACAUCAGUCUGCUUCCUCUCUCAGUUGACAGUCGCGCACGGGAUUGUUCAGCUCCAAAUACCGGAGAGUUUUUAAACGAGCAGUUUCUAAAUAAUAUACCAUUGCUCCGUGUAAUAUUAACGGUGAUGAAAAAAACGUUUCUUACAGUAAAAUCUCUUUAUCUCCCACCUUCAAAACCGCUCUCUAAGUCAAUGUUCCCGGCAUGCCCAUGCAGCUGUGGGCGGCUCUUAGAUUUGAAUGAGCAGAGCGCCAUUUUUCGAGUAAGCGGCGAUAACAUCAACACUGAGCGCGCGCACAGAGAGACAGAGAGGGGGACCGUGCGCGCGACGCUUCGCCUAAAAAAUAAGACUUAUUAUCCGGAUUCGGGAUAACAGCACGGUUUGGAAACCGUUUAAAGAUCAAAAUCGCAUACGAGGUAGUGUCGACAUUCUCAGAAGUGACCAGCGCAAACGGAUUGUGGAGCCGAAGGAGAAAAGGGGGCUAUCGUUCAGCUGCGUACAUAAGGGAAAACCUGCAAAUUUUGAAAAAUAAUCUAUAAAAAUAUCGCUGUACGCCAGGAAAAAUAUAGAAAAAUUCUGGAAAAUACCACAGGGUCUUGGGAUCGGGAUUCGGCGGGGUGUGAGUGAAGAUUGUGUCAUUUUGGCGUUUUUUCGCGUCGCUUUUUGAGCGGGAGUAACGGACGAGCUGCUGGCGCAGAUACACACAGUUCAGUCCGAGAGCCUGUCAAGCAUCACAUACUGAGCUCAGAUUAUAGAGGACAACAUCAGCCAUUUCAACCGGAAAGGAAUGUAGAGCACACGGCAUGACACUGAGCUGUGACAGACUCAAGUGACUGUAAGUACACCACUGAUUUAACCUUAUUAUUGCCUAUAAAAGAAAUAUAAGAAAUGUGAAUUUGUAGUGCAUGAAAUGUAUAGAAUAGCCUAAAAAUGUCUAUAUUCUCAUGAAGUACC
Non-coding RNA from Danio rerio (zebrafish), 3275 nucleotides. The record is from RefSeq and is a predicted model, not a curated record. NCBI's taxonomy places the organism in Eukaryota, Metazoa, Chordata, Actinopteri, Cypriniformes, Danionidae.